GGAUGAACGCUGGCGGCGUGCCUAAUACAUGCAAGUCGAGCGAACAGACGAGGAGCUUGCUCCUCUGACGUUAGCGGCGGACGGGUGAGUAACACGUGGAUAACCUACCUAUAAGACUGGGAUAACUUCGGGAAACCGGAGCUAAUACCGGAUAAUAUAUUGAACCGCAUGGUUCAAUAGUGAAAGACGGUUUUGCUGUCACUUAUAGAUGGAUCCGCGCCGCAUUAGCUAGUUGGUAAGGUAACGGCUUACCAAGGCAACGAUGCGUAGCCGACCUGAGAGGGUGAUCGGCCACACUGGAACUGAGACACGGUCCAGACUCCAACGGGAGGCAGCAGUAGGGAAUCUUCCGCAAUGGGCGAAAGCUUGACGGAGCAACGCCGCGUGAGUGAUGAAGGUCUUCGGAUCGUAAAACUCUGUUAUUAGGGAAGAACAAAUGUGUAAGUAACUAUGCACGUCUUGACGGUACCUAAUCAGAAAGCCACGGCUAACUACGUG
This 498-nucleotide ribosomal RNA is filed under the name uncultured bacterium. RNAcentral's name for it is "partial 16S ribosomal RNA". It matches the Rfam family "Bacterial small subunit ribosomal RNA", at positions 27 to 507 of the family's 1533-position model. The record is from RNAcentral.